This is a long non-coding RNA of Trichomycterus rosablanca, 1817 nucleotides long. RefSeq lists it as uncharacterized. NCBI's taxonomy places the organism in Eukaryota, Metazoa, Chordata, Actinopteri, Siluriformes, Trichomycteridae. The transcript has 3 exons. The record is from RefSeq and is a predicted model, not a curated record.
UUUUUCUCUAAAUUGUUUUCAGUUCCUCUGCUCUUCAGAUGCCUCAUCAUGCCUCAGUCACAUGACGUUCUCCUUCCAUGAGCUGUAUGAUCACCUGAACUUCUGAGUGUUUGCUGCACAUAGAGAGACUGUAUCAACACUGGAAAAGCAUCAGUACUGCGGUGGUAAAUGUGUCACUUAUCGUCCCUGAUUUGAAUCCUGGCUGAUUUUCUGCAGAAACACACUGAUGUAGAGCAGGUCGUGUUUCCUGUCCGUGUGCGGGACGUAACGGUCAGUGUGUUUUAUUUUCGACUGUGGAACCACGAUGGUUGGUGCUGGUGCUGGUGCUGGUGCUGAUGUGCGACGGGCCGCUCGAGGAGGUCAUGUGACCGUGUGUUUGUGAUGAAGCGUGGAGGAGCAGGAGGAGAACAGAGUGAGUUUUACACAGACGGAGAGACGAGCUGCUGAGAGUCAUCACACUUCAACCAUGAACAACAGAGAAGAGACAGAGAGAGAGCUACCACCCACCGAAUACCACACACACACUCUCUCACACACACACACUCUCACUCACACACACACACACACACACACACACACUCACACACACACACACACACUCUCUCUCACACACACACACACACACACUCUCUCACUCACACACACACACACAGCAGUUUUGCAGAGUGAGAACAGAUGGAGAAAACAAAAUACUCGAGUCUCUUUAGCACCUCUGUGUUUGAGCUCUGAACUCCAGCGACCUCCAUCAUGUUGCUAAUGCUAACACUGAUGCUCACACUGCUGCUAAUGCUAACACUGAGUGUGUUUACAUGGGGGGAAAAAUCAUCUGAUAAGUGGAAGAAAUGUAAUUUUGGUGAUGAUUUAUUCUGUGUGUUUGGGACUCUUCACUCUCUGCUCCGUCUGCAUUCAGAUCUGCUGCUUUAUUAUUUUAUUGAUGAGAUAUUCGUAAGGGAAGUGUGUUGUUAUAUCGGCCAAUCAGGGACGUACUGUUCUAACUCACAUCUCUGAGGUUACAUGUUCCAGGAUAGACAUGUUCCAGUAGGGCAUCUUGAAAAGCAUGCCAGUCUAUACCCACUGCACCUACUGUCAUGUUCUCAGGAGCUGGUGGGUGUUGGUACCUAUUAGAAGUCCAUACAGACCCGGUGAGGACAACGUGGACAUUUCACAGCCAGUGUCGGCAGAUCAGGAUGGAGUUUGGGAUGCUGGGGGUGUGAAACCAGCACCACCUGCUGCACCACUGCAGUAAAUGUACUACCAUAGUACUGUGUACACUGUGGCCAAAAGUAUGUGGACACCUCACCAUGAGCUUGUUGAAGCGAAGCACCAGAGCCAAGAGCUCCCACUAGGUAACAUUAAAUAAGGUGAUCACAUGGUGUUUGUGUAGGUCAGUGGUAAAAUCUGAGAGAGAUAAACUUUUACAUUUUACUACACAAACAUUCAUUCAUUCAUGUUCACUAACCACUUUAUUUAAUUUAGGGUUGAAGUGAACAACCCUCACAAAUAUUGUUCCUCCAGACUCGGUGGGUACAGUCUGCAGGGGGAUGAGUGUUACGCAACUCUAAAUCUAAUUAAUCUGUAUUUAGUUUAUAUAUUUAAUUAAUUCAUACAUUCUCGAGGACCACCACAGGGGAUGGAGUUUCCUAUUGAGAAUAUUUGAUGUAUAAACUGAUGAAACUGCAGGUUUAGUAAUAAUUCAUAAAUGUUUCGUUUAUUACAAUUUGACCACAGUGGUAAAUUUUUCGAACACAAGUAAUAUUUCUAGGUCUGAUUUUGCUCUAUCAGAUUUAAUAGAUUAAUAGGGAUUAUUAUUAAGUACU